GCUACCCACCGACGCCUCCUCCCCACUGGCGCGCGGCCCUGUAGGCGCUCCGCGGCGGGUGACGGCUUGGCCGAGCGGGAGCCGCUAGGGGCUCCCGACCUGCGCGCCGCGCAGGGUCUCCGCGGCAGCAUUGCGUCAGGCGCACACGGUGCGGGGGUGUGGAGGCGCGGCCACAUGGCCGUGCAGCCCGAACGGCCGAUGGGGCAGGGCCUGGGCCUUGGGCGCGGAGCACCUUGCUCCCUCACCUGCGCGAGCACGCGGCUGGCCGGCGGCGACCUGCAGCGGUGCGGGCGUGCUGCAUUCAGCCUGUGUAGCGAGAUUUGAGACUUCCCGAACUGAGAGGUUAAACAAGGGAAGGAGGCACACAUCUUAAAAAGACCAGACCAAAGAAGGCAAUAUAUCUGAUAACAUUUAUUUUCGCUCUAAGUGAAAAUAGUGACUGCUAAAACAUGAGCUGGUAUAGAACUGUAACUGCUAAAACAGGAACUCGUAUAAAAAGAUUCAUUAUAGUGUUUAUAUGAUUCCUGAAGAAACAUGACUGUUGCCUUUAAUAUUGAUUAACCAUAUGUGACUGUUUUUUUCCUUCUCUUUCUUGAGCACACAUGCAUUGUUAAGAGACUGCUUAUAAAAUGGUGUGGAUUCUGAAUCUCCAAAUAAUUCUGUAUUGCAGGAAGCAGUUCUGAGUUCAAUUUAUCAUUUGUGUAGCAAAAAAGUGAUGCAGCUGCAGCAGAAAAGCAUACACAUACCUCUAAGUUUAAAGAAACCAAAGAUUUUAUGCUAGUAUGUUGAUCUCUGUGUUUUGUUUAUUGCUGCAAAUGGGAAUUGCUCUGUGGACAAAAUAGUAACUGUUCUGUGUGCCCAAAUAAUGUCUUGUGCUGAGUUAGUUGCUGCUCUAAUGAUUAAACAUAUAAGUGUAGUGUGUACCUAGGUGAAAAACAGCACUAUACCGGAUAGCUGUUUUUGCUAUCCAAUAAUAUUAACACUAGCUGCAUGUUGUGUGGUUGUUUGCCAUUCCCUUUACUAAAACACUGCUGAAAAUUGUUAUUCACAUGUUCAAAUUGACUUUCAGGUAGAAGUGCUAGGUGGGACGGUUGAUGAAGACGGUUGCAAGUUGAUCACAGUUUUUGUUGAAGCUUAUGUGUUUGUUUUGUUAUGAACUUCCUGGAGAUGAAAUCUUUUGCCCACAACCUUGUAGUGAACUGUGAUAUUUCGGUCAUAAUUAUUUGAUACCUUGCUCACAAUGAUAGAUGUAGAAAUGUUGAUUCCUUGACCAUAUGCAAACUUUAUGGCUGUGAGCUAGGUCAGUUUGUUUUAAUGAUCUAUGUGACAUCACUAGGAGCUAUUAUUUA
This is a long non-coding RNA of Panicum hallii, 1349 nucleotides long. RefSeq lists it as uncharacterized. The record is from RefSeq and is a predicted model, not a curated record. Lineage: Eukaryota; Viridiplantae; Streptophyta; Magnoliopsida; Poales; Poaceae. The transcript has 2 exons.